UGGCCUAGACGACACCCGUGAGUGGGGAGGGAAUGAUCAUUAUUACAGGUAUAAUUGGUGACUAGUUGGUGACUUGUGGCCCUGUUGGUGACUGAGGUUCAGAUUUGUUAGGUCUCAGAUGACUUUGGGGUUUCAGAUGGAUUUGUGGUUCCUAGUUCAAGCCGAAGCUUUGGUUCUGUGCUCCGAGAUACACAGUCAGCCAGUCUUGUCUGCAUCAUUUGCAUCAUAGCAUGUUUAUUUUCAAAAAAG
RNAcentral lists this long non-coding RNA (249 nucleotides) under Lathyrus oleraceus (garden pea). RNAcentral describes it as "Pisum sativum (pea) long non-coding RNA (PSAT_LNC007205)". Lineage: Eukaryota; Viridiplantae; Streptophyta; Magnoliopsida; Fabales; Fabaceae. The record is from RNAcentral.